Molecule: ribosomal RNA, 260 nt
Filed under: uncultured bacterium
Lineage: Bacteria
Description: partial 16S ribosomal RNA
Rfam family: Bacterial small subunit ribosomal RNA
Source: RNAcentral
GUCCACGCCGUAAACUAUGGGUGCUAGCCGUCGGUCGGCAUGCCGGUCGGUGGCGCAGCAAACGCAUUAAGCACCCCGCCUGGGGAGUACGGUCGCAAGAUUAAAACUCAAAGGAAUUGACGGGGGCCCCGCACAAGCGGUGGAGCAUGUGGUUUAAUUCGAGGCAACGCGAAGAACCUUACCAGCCCUUGACUUCCCGAUCGGGGCUCCGGAGACGGAGCUUUUCAAUUGGUCGGUGACAGGUGCUGCAUGGCUGUCGU